AUUGAACGCUGGCGGCAUGCCUAACACAUGCAAGUCGAACGGCAGCACAGCAGAGCUUGCUCUGUGGGUGGCGAGUGGCGGACGGGUGAGUAAUGCAUCGGGACCUACCCAGACGUGGGGGAUAACGUAGGGAAACUUACGCUAAUACCGCAUACGUCCUACGGGAGAAAGCGGGGGACCUUCGGGCCUCGCGCGGUUGGAUGGACCGAUGUUCGAUUAGCUAGUUGGUAGGGUAAUGGCCUACCAAGGCGACGAUCGAUAGCUGGUCUGAGAGGAUGAUCAGCCACACUGGGACUGAGACACGGUCCAGACUCCUACGGGAGGCAGCAGUGGGGAAUAUUGGACAAUGGGCGCAAGCCUGAUCCAGCAAUGCCGCGUGUGUGAAGAAGGCCUUCGGGUUGUAAAGCACUUUUAUCAGGAGCGAAAUACUAUCGGUUAAUAACCGGUGGGGCUGACGGUACCUGAGGAAUAAGCACCGGCUAACUUCGUGCCAGCAGCCGCGGUAAUACGAAGGGUGCAAGCGUUAAUCGGAAUUACUGGGCGUAAAGGGUGCGUAGGCGGUUAGUUAAGUCUGUUGUGAAAUCCCCGGGCUCAACCUGGGAAUGGCAAUGGAUACUGGCUAGCUAGAGUGUGUCAGAGGAUGGUGGAAUUCCCGGUGUAGCGGUGAAAUGCGUAGAGAUCGGGAGGAACAUCAGUGGCGAAGGCGGCCAUCUGGGACAACACUGACGCUGAAGCACGAAAGCGUGGGGAGCAAACAGGAUUAGAUACCCUGGUAGUCCACGCCCUAAACGAUGCGAACUGGAUGUUGGU
RNAcentral lists this ribosomal RNA (810 nucleotides) under uncultured Lysobacteraceae bacterium. RNAcentral's name for it is "bacterial SSU rRNA". It matches the Rfam family "Bacterial small subunit ribosomal RNA", at positions 28 to 827 of the family's 1533-position model. Lineage: Bacteria; Pseudomonadati; Pseudomonadota; Gammaproteobacteria; Lysobacterales; Lysobacteraceae. The record is from RNAcentral.